This 414-nucleotide transfer-messenger RNA is filed under the name Pseudomonadales bacterium. It matches the Rfam family "transfer-messenger RNA". From Rfam's summary of the family: Bacterial tmRNA, also known as 10Sa RNA or SsrA, is named for its dual tRNA and mRNA-like properties. Lineage: Bacteria; Pseudomonadati; Pseudomonadota; Gammaproteobacteria; Pseudomonadales. The record is from RNAcentral.
GGGGGUGUAAGUUUCGAUGUGAGCAAAGAUUGACAUUGGCAAGUCUUCUUUGACCAAAAGAAGUAAAACAGGGUUAACAAUUUAUCUGCCGAUACUAUCGUCAGUAAAGUGAGAAGCACACUCCUCGACACCAGAGAUGCUGUCGCAGGUGCUUUCACUGCAAAUCAAGCUGCUGUUUUGGUAGCCUAAUUCGCUGUUCUAGAGUGGAUUCUCUCAAGUGGUUACUCUAGGGCAUCAACUUAGCUUGGGUGUAAUUGUUGGUACGACUAGGACCAACAACCAAAUUUUUCUAGUCAGGGCUGAGACGGAGUUUGCUUAUUCGCUUACCUCAGCCAACUUAAAAAUAAACUAAACUUGUAGAUUUUGUCUUUCUCAUGACUUGCAGACAGGGGAUCAAUCCCCUCACCUCCACAG